GCGGUUUAAUUGGAGUCAACGCCGGAAAUCUCACCGGGAGCGACAGCAGUAUGAAGGCCAGAUUAAAGGUCUUGCCAGACGAGCUGAGAGGAGGUGCAUGGCCGUCGCCAGUUCGUGCCGUGAGGUGUCCUGUUAAGUCAGGCAACGAUCGAGACCCGCGUCCWCUGUUGCAACUAGCUUUGWNGCUGGGCACACUGWGGANACCGCCACUGAUAAAGUGGAGGAAGGAGCGGGCCACGGCAGGUCAGUAUGCCCCGAAUCUCCCGGGCCACACGCGAGCUGCAAUGGCAGGUACAAUGGGUUCCGACCUCGAAAGGGGAAGGCAAUCUCGAAAGCCUGCCGUANUUGGGAUCNAGGGCUGUAACCCGUCCUCGUGAACNUGGAAUCCCUANUAAUCGCGUGUCNUUANCGCGCGGUGA
RNAcentral lists this ribosomal RNA (419 nucleotides) under uncultured crenarchaeote. RNAcentral's name for it is "partial 16S ribosomal RNA". It matches the Rfam family "Archaeal small subunit ribosomal RNA", at positions 897 to 1320 of the family's 1478-position model. The record is from RNAcentral. Lineage: Archaea; Thermoproteati; Thermoproteota.